CACAGCAUACAGAGCAAUAUCCACAGCACUGCACCCUCCUUCCAAGAGGUAAUGUUAAUAGUCAACAAGCCCAGCUAUGACGAUCUUGAGCAAGCAGGCUCAACCACCAAUACUCCUAAAGAUGGCAGCUGUUAGACUUGGAGGAUGGUCUUGUACACAUGAGUCUACUCUAAAGUGUCCUCCUCUUGCAUCAGCAGCAGAGAGUAUCCUUCCUCUCAGCAUCCCUUUGCUAUUGCUAAUAUAAAUCAACUGUACUCAGAGCAUCACACCUCAGACACAUGCUGCUGCUCUUCAUCCCAGCUCUUUACCUGUUCCAGCCUUGCCCCUCUGCACUUGUCAUUGAAUCUCAAACUGGCUAAUAGAUUGAAUUCUUCAGCACUUGACUACAGAUUAAAAUCUAGUAUCUGCAUUCAAAGUGUUCAUAGUCUGGGACUCUACAGAGAAGAAAGCAUUGCAAAUAUCCAGUGAGAGAGACACUGAAGAGGUUUGAAGAAGACUUACCCCAAAUAAUCCACAAUCAGUGAGAAGAAUUGAUAGAGAUGGGGCUGAAGAGGCAUGCAGAGCCAGACUUAAGCUCUCUCUGGAGUUUGGGGUCCAUUUGAUGAUGCUGUGCCAUGACUGACUGCUUGAGUACCUAGAACUGCUGCGCUGAGUGGCAGAAAUGAGGAUUCUCUGCAGGAAAGGCUACUCAGCUGCAAGAAAUAUGCCCAGCAGACAGCCUCCAACUCCUAGGUCACUCAGCCCAGCUCAGCUUUGGAGUCCUCCUGCACUUCUCUGGGAGCCUUGGUCAUGGUCCUCCUGCACUGCUCUGGGAGCCUUGGCCAUGGUCCUCCUGCACUGCUCUGGGAGCCUUGGCCAUGGUCCUCCUGCACUGCUCUGGGAGCCUUGGCCAUGGUCCUCCUGCACUGCUCUGGGAGCCUUGGCCAUGGUCCUCCUGCACUGCUCUGGGAGCCUUGGCCAUGGUCUUCCUGCACUGCUCUGGGAGCCUCAGCUCAGGACUAAGCAAGACCUUGUUGUGGGGUCCAGCCCAGCUAUCCAAAGCUAACCCUUCUAAGGAUAGGCCUUGGAGUCCUCACUCACAGAAGAGACUAUCAGAGAUGCCUAUCCAGGGGAGAGCUCCCCAUCAAUCCCACGAACUUCCUUUGACAUUUGGAGUCCAGUCCACAGUGAACCUUUAUACUGCUAGCUCCAUCCUCCAUAGUACCUUCAAGAAGACCCUCUAGACACACCUGCCACAAGGCUACGAAGAGGCAGACAGGGAGACAGAGUGAGGAUGGAUCCUCAGAGACUAUGGUAUACAAGUCAUUCUUAGUGAGAUGUUUUCUUUCUACAAGAAAGUCUCAAGUUCUUACCAUCUCAUGGAGAAGUGAGUUGACACUGUCUACCACCUGGCCAUGCAGAGAGAGAUCCUCCCAAGGAUGUCCUUGGCUCCUUAUGCAGGACAGCAUGAGACAAAGGUGUUCCCAUCAUUGUUAUCCUUAGUGGUCAACCUGACAUACCCGGGGAAAGGGGACAUCAGGCGAAGAACUGACUCUGUUAGAAGGCCUGUGGGCAUCUCUGUGAGUU
This is a long non-coding RNA of Onychomys torridus (southern grasshopper mouse), 1566 nucleotides long. RefSeq lists it as uncharacterized. The record is from RefSeq and is a predicted model, not a curated record. The transcript is spliced from 3 exons. Lineage: Eukaryota; Metazoa; Chordata; Mammalia; Rodentia; Cricetidae.